GAGGUGGGCCAGGCGACCGCGGGGCGCAUCCGGAAACGGGGCGUCAUGAGGAAAGUCCGGGCUCCACAGGGCAGGAUGCCGGCUAACGGCCGGGCGGGGUAACCCGACGGAAAGCGCCGCAGAAAAGAAGACUCCAACUGGCCGGCCCUCGGGCCGCGCAAAGGGAAAAGCUGAAACGGUGGUGUAAGAGACCACCAGCGCCGCGGCAACGCGACGGCUUGGCAAGCCCCAUCCGGAGCAAACGCAAAUAGGAGCGCCAUGGUGUGGCCCGCACUGCGCUCGGGUUGCGCGCUAGAGGCGGGCGGAGACGCCCGCAGUAGAUAAAUGGCCGCCCACGACAGAACCCGGCUUACAGGCCCACCUCGCCU
RNAcentral lists this RNase P RNA (368 nucleotides) under Candidatus Olsenella pullicola. RNAcentral's name for it is "RNase P RNA component class A". It matches the Rfam family "Bacterial RNase P class A". From Rfam's summary of the family: Ribonuclease P (RNase P) is a ubiquitous endoribonuclease, found in archaea, bacteria and eukarya as well as chloroplasts and mitochondria. The record is from RNAcentral. Lineage: Bacteria; Bacillati; Actinomycetota; Coriobacteriia; Coriobacteriales; Atopobiaceae.